Molecule: ribosomal RNA, 883 nt
Filed under: Scytinostroma alutum
Lineage: Eukaryota; Fungi; Basidiomycota; Agaricomycetes; Russulales; Lachnocladiaceae
Description: eukaryotic LSU rRNA
Rfam family: Eukaryotic large subunit ribosomal RNA
Source: RNAcentral
CCCUUGAAAGAACUAACAAGGAUUCCCCUAGUAACUGCGAGUGAAGCGGGAUGAGCUCAAAUUUGAAAUCUGGCAGUGUAACAGCUGUCCGAGUUGUAAUUUAGAGAAGUGUUUUCUGUGCCAGACCGUGUACAAGUCUCCUGGAAUGGGGCCGUCAUAGAGGGUGAGAAUCCCGUCUUUGACACGGCUCUCUACUGGUGCUAUGUGAUACACUCUCAAAGAGUCGAGUUGUUUGGGAAUGCAGCUCAAAAUGGGUGGUGAACUCCAUCUAAAGCUAAAUAUUGGCGAGAGACCGAUAGCGAACAAGUACCGUGAGGGAAAGAUGAAAAGCACUUUGGAAAGAGAGUGAAACAGUACCUGAAAUUGCUGAAAGGGAAACGAUUGAAGUCAGUCACAUUUGCUAGAAAUCAACCCUUUUCUGGGUGAUUUCUAGUGAAUGGGNCAGCUUACCUUUUGGCCAUUGGAAAAGGCCGGAAGAAUGUGGCACUCUUUAUUAGGGUGUGUAUAGCCUCUCUUUGUCAUAUACAGUGGGUUCAGAAGUGAGAAUGCCUUUGUUGUAGGAUGCUGGCAUAAUGGCUUUAAACGACCCGUCUUGAAACACGGACCAAGGAGUCUAACAUGCAUGCAAGUGUUUGGGUGGUCAAAACCCAUGCGCGUAAUGAAAGUGAAGAGUUGGGAAGGCUGUCAUGGCCUGCACCGAUGCCCGGACUUGAGAUUUAUCGACGGUUCUGCGGUCGAGCAUGUAUGUUAGGACCCGAAAGAUGGUGAACUAUGCCUGAAUAGGGUGAAGCCAGAGGAAACUCUGGUGGAGGCUCGUAGCGAUUCUGACGUGCAAAUCGAUCGUCAAAUUUGGGUAUAGGGGCGAAAGACUAAUCGAACCAUC